CCUACGGGUGGCAGCAGUGGGGGAUAUUGCACAAUGGGCGAAAGCCUGACGCAGCGACGCCGCGUGAGGGAUGAAGGUCUUCGGAUCGUAAACCUCUAUCAGCAGGGAAGAACAUUCACUGUGCUGAUCAGCAGUGAAUUGACAGUACCUGCACAGGAAGCACCGGCUAACUCCGUGCCAGCGGCCGCGGUAAUACGGCGGGUGCGAACGUUAGUCGGAAUUACUGGGCGUAAAGCGCGCGUAGGCGGUAUGUCAAGUCAAGGGUGAAAUCCCCGCGCUCAACGUGGGAACUGCCUUUGAAACUGGCAAACUGGAGUGUGUGAGAGGAUAGUGGAAUUCCAGGUGUAGGAGUGAAAUCCGUAGAUAUCGGGAGGAACAUCAGUGGCGAAGGCGACCAUCUGGAACAUAACUGACGCUGAGGAGCGAAAGCGUGGGUAGCAAACAGGAUUAGAUACCCCUGUAGUC
Molecule: ribosomal RNA, 465 nt
Filed under: uncultured bacterium
Lineage: Bacteria
Description: partial 16S ribosomal RNA
Rfam family: Bacterial small subunit ribosomal RNA
Source: RNAcentral